CGGUGGCGAACGGGUGAGUAAUAUAUUGGACGUACCGAGUAAUGGGGGAUAACCAAUCGAAAGAUUGGCUAAUACCGCAUACGCUCUGAGGAGGAAAGCAGGGGACCUUCGGGCCUUGCGUUAUUCGAGCGGCCAAUAUCUGAUUAGCUAGUUGGUGGGGUAAAGGCCUACUAAGGCGACGAUCAGUAGCGGGUCUGAGAGGAUGAUCCGCCACACUGGGACUGAGGCACGGCCCAG
This 237-nucleotide ribosomal RNA is filed under the name uncultured bacterium. RNAcentral's name for it is "partial 16S ribosomal RNA". It matches the Rfam family "Bacterial small subunit ribosomal RNA", at positions 93 to 334 of the family's 1533-position model. The record is from RNAcentral.